Molecule: transfer RNA, 85 nt
Filed under: Acidobacteriota bacterium
Lineage: Bacteria; Pseudomonadati; Acidobacteriota
Also listed under: 2 other names
Description: Acidobacteria bacterium tRNA-Leu
Rfam family: tRNA
About the family: Transfer RNA (tRNA) molecules are approximately 80 nucleotides in length. Their secondary structure includes four short double-helical elements and three loops (D, anti-codon, and T loops). Further hydrogen bonds mediate the characteristic L-shaped molecular structure. tRNAs have two regions of fundamental functional importance: the anti-codon, which is responsible for specific mRNA codon recognition, and the 3' end, to which the tRNAs corresponding amino acid is attached (by aminoacyl-tRNA synthetases). tRNAs cope with the degeneracy of the genetic code in two manners: having more than one tRNA (with a specific anti-codon) for a particular amino acid; and 'wobble' base-pairing, i.e. permitting non-standard base-pairing at the 3rd anti-codon position.
Source: RNAcentral
GCGAACGUGGCGGAAUUGGCAGACGCGCUGGAUUUAGGUUCCAGUGGGGCAACCCGUGGAGGUUCGAGUCCUCUCGUUCGCACCA